CCUACGGGUGGCAGCAGUAGGGAAUUUUGCGCAAUGGGCGAAAGCCUGACGCAGCAACGCCGCGUGAUCGAGAAGCCCUUCGGGGUGUAAAGACUUGUCAGUGGGGACGAAACUUGACGGUACCUACAGAGGAAGCACCGGCUAACUACGUGCCAGCAGCCGCGGUAAUACGGGGGGUGCAAGCGUUGUCCGGAUUCAUUGGGCGGAAAGGGUUCGUAGGCGGCACUUAAAGUCUGGGGUUAAAGGCAGAGGCUCAACUUCUGUACGGCACGGGAAACUUGCGAGCUAGAAGGCGGUAGGGGGAAAGGGAAUUCCUGGUGUAGCGGUGGAAUGCUG
RNAcentral lists this ribosomal RNA (336 nucleotides) under uncultured bacterium. RNAcentral describes it as "partial 16S ribosomal RNA". It matches the Rfam family "Bacterial small subunit ribosomal RNA", at positions 338 to 691 of the family's 1533-position model. The record is from RNAcentral.